RNAcentral lists this ribosomal RNA (445 nucleotides) under uncultured bacterium. RNAcentral's name for it is "partial 16S ribosomal RNA". It matches the Rfam family "Bacterial small subunit ribosomal RNA", at positions 354 to 796 of the family's 1533-position model. The record is from RNAcentral.
GUAGGGAAUAUUGGGCAAUGGAAGGAAUUCUGACCCAGCCAUGCCGCGUGCAGGAAUACAGUCCUAUGGACUUUAAACUGCUUUUAUUAUAGAGUAACCUGGGGGACGUGUCCCCCACUGCAAGUAUAUAAUGAAUAAGCAUCGGCUAACUCCGUGCCAGCAGCCGCGGUAAUAAGGGGGAUGCAAGCGUUAUCCGGAUUUAUUGGGUUUAAAGGGUGCGCAGGCUGAUCGGUAAGUCAUGGGUGAAAAGUCACUGCUUAACAGUGAUCGUGCCUAUAAUACUGCCGGACUAGAGUUUAAGAGGUGUAACUGGAAUGUGAUGUGUAGCGGUGAAAUGCUUAGAUAUGUCACAGAACGCCAAUCGUGAAGACAGGUUACAAACUUAAUACUGACGCUCAUGCACGAAAGCGUGGGGAUCAAACAGGAUUAGAAACCCGAGUAGUCC